This 99-nucleotide ribosomal RNA is filed under the name Weissella confusa. RNAcentral's name for it is "partial 16S ribosomal RNA". It matches the Rfam family "Bacterial small subunit ribosomal RNA", at positions 1435 to 1533 of the family's 1533-position model. Lineage: Bacteria; Bacillati; Bacillota; Bacilli; Lactobacillales; Lactobacillaceae. The record is from RNAcentral.
GUAACCUUCGGGAGCCAGCCGUCUAAGGUGGGACAGAUGAUUAGGGUGAAGUCGUAACAAGGUAGCCGUAGGAGAACCUGCGGCUGGAUCACCUCCUUU